UCAAUAAGGAUUCGUGAAAAGGCGAAAUGAAUCCUGCCUUAAACACUUACCAGCUUUGUGUCACUGGACCAGUUUGCCUCAGUUUCCUCAUCUGUCAAACGGGAGGGUGAGAUUUAGUGGCCUCCAAGGUCUUUUCCAAUUCUGAACCUAUCUAGAGAUCUUUAAGCUGUACAAAGCACCUUACAUCCUUAAACAGAACCACCUGUGAGGUGUGGACGAGGAUUGUCCCAAUUUUACACCUGAAAAAACGAAGACGGAAAAGUUCAGAGACUCGCUGUCUUGUGGCAACUGAGGAAGAAUUUGAAUCCUCCAUCCAGAUUCCAGGAGAGCAGCUGCUUCUGGGAGAUGAGAGGCAUCUUUGAAAGGCAACGGCAGGACCACUUCUUAGAAGCCAACAUAGGAUCUCAGGGCUCUGAGGUCUCUGGACAAUUCAUUUCACGUCUCUGCUUCUAAAAUGAGGAGGUUGGACUCGGUGGUACCUCAGGUUCCGUUCAGCUCCAAGUCUCUGAUUCUGGUAUCAAAGCCCUGCCUACCCUUCAAGGCUUCUGUUUCCUGAGAUUGACCAUCAAGGGUAGCAGAACCUGGGCUCCGUCCAGGCUGUCUAACACAGGAUCUGUGUGACUUUGUGGAAGUCGCUUUGACUCUCUGGGCCACUUUCCCCAUCUAGAAAAUGAAAGGGUCGAAUCAAAUGACAUCAAAGAUCCAUUCCAGCUUCAAGUCUCUGAAUGGAGAAUGGUCUGCUGGGACCUUCAGGCUU
This 757-nucleotide long non-coding RNA is filed under the name Monodelphis domestica (gray short-tailed opossum). RNAcentral describes it as "lncRNA (ENSMODG00000032273.2)". Lineage: Eukaryota; Metazoa; Chordata; Mammalia; Didelphimorphia; Didelphidae. The record is from RNAcentral.